RNAcentral lists this transfer RNA (65 nucleotides) under Dipodomys ordii (Ord's kangaroo rat). It matches the Rfam family "tRNA". Rfam says of the family: Transfer RNA (tRNA) molecules are approximately 80 nucleotides in length. Their secondary structure includes four short double-helical elements and three loops (D, anti-codon, and T loops). Further hydrogen bonds mediate the characteristic L-shaped molecular structure. tRNAs have two regions of fundamental functional importance: the anti-codon, which is responsible for specific mRNA codon recognition, and the 3' end, to which the tRNAs corresponding amino acid is attached (by aminoacyl-tRNA synthetases). tRNAs cope with the degeneracy of the genetic code in two manners: having more than one tRNA (with a specific anti-codon) for a particular amino acid; and 'wobble' base-pairing, i.e. permitting non-standard base-pairing at the 3rd anti-codon position. Lineage: Eukaryota; Metazoa; Chordata; Mammalia; Rodentia; Heteromyidae. The record is from Rfam by way of RNAcentral.
GGUGGCUCAGUAGUAGAGUGUUUGCCUGGCAUGCAUGAGGCCCUGGGUUCAAUUCCUCAGCACCA